This 299-nucleotide signal recognition particle RNA is filed under the name Carlito syrichta (Philippine tarsier). RNAcentral's name for it is "Metazoan signal recognition particle RNA (ENSTSYG00000029390.1)". It matches the Rfam family "Metazoan signal recognition particle RNA". Rfam says of the family: The signal recognition particle (SRP) is a universally conserved ribonucleoprotein. It is involved in the co-translational targeting of proteins to membranes. The record is from RNAcentral. Lineage: Eukaryota; Metazoa; Chordata; Mammalia; Primates; Tarsiidae.
GUCAGUUGCAGUAGCACGUGCUUGUAGUCCUGGCUACUAAGAGAACUGAGGCGGGAGGAUCGCUUGAGCCCAGGAGUUCUGAGUUGUAGUGCUCUAUAUCCAGGAGGUGUCCACACUAAGUUACACAUCAGUAUGGUGACCACCUGGUCCCAGGGGACCACCAGGCUGUCAAAGGAGGAGUGAACCGGCCCAGGUCAGAGAUGGAGCCCCUCAAAACUCCUUUGCCGAUCAGUAGUGGGAUUGUGGCUGUGAAUAGCCCCCACACUCCAGUCUGGGCAACAUAGCAAAACCCCACUUCU